CGCCGGGGGGGGGGGAGGGCGGCGAGCCCGCUGCGGCUCUGCUCUCCCCGGGUGAGCACCGCCCCCCUCCAGGUGCUGCCCCAAGCACAUGCUUGGUAGGCUGGUGCCUGGAGCCGGCCCUGCCUCCAGUAAUAAAGUUCAGAAACCUCAACUGUAAUUCUAAUAUUAAAAAAAUAAGUAAUGUGUAUUUUAAUAAACCUGCAAAUAUUUCUUCCCAAAACACCAUCCCUUUGGGAGGCAGGGAUGCACGGUUUCUUUCAAAGAAGUCAUUAUUUUAUCUCCAUUCAACAGCUAGUGGGGUGUGCUCUACAAACAUACGUCAACAAAACAAGCAUACUGUACCUCCGUAUCUGAUCUUAACCAGGUCAAGGUUCCAGAUUCCUCAUGUCACUUCUUAGCUACUCUGAAUGGCUGCUCUGCCUCUGUACCGUCAAGCACGUGUAACACGGAUAACAUUUUGAAAUUUCUAAAAUGUUUUUUAAAUACCACUAAAUAGCUUGCAUGGUGACUGAAAGUUUAAAAUCAUAUUUCCCCUCCAUUUUUCACAGGACUGUUAGUUGUCAACACUGAUUUUGCUGCUGCAAAAUAUGGUUCAGAUGUAUCUUUGUAUCUUUCCCGUUUUGAGUAACAUAUGCUUAGUUUAUCGACACAAGUUUUUAAUAUUGUCAGUGCUGCAAAGCCAACAAUGCCACAGAAGAGCAAGCUCAAUUCUGCUCUCCUUGGAACAGUAUCAACAACAUUGUCAGUUACAUUUCCAGUACCAGAAGACUUAUUGCUGAUGAAGUUACAUGAGGAAUGGUGAACACUGCUUAAUUUUUUCAUGUAUUGGGCUGAAUCUGCAGUGUUGGCAGUUAAAAGCCUACAAUUUUAGUAAAUGAAUGAAUCACAUUUCAUUAAGGGGGCAGUAAUAAAAGAUUAAUAGGAAACAGUCAAGAUGUAACACUUAAAUUCAGUUUUUUCACUAUUACUACAAUGAAGAUUGCCUUGGCAAACAGUUUUGUCUGGCAGGAGUUCCAAGUUAUACAACUGUAAACUUAAAAUUUAGACAUUUUAUAUGCAGUUUUAUGCUUAUGUUUUAGAAAAUGUUUAUGAUUUAACCAACUAUUAAACAAUAUGAUUAUUUUCACUAAUAAACACACACAGAUUAAAUAUGUAACAAAAUGUUUUUUAAUCUCUAGAUAUGUUUCAACAAUGAGAAUACCGUCCUGUGACAGUACUUACACAAAAGGGACAGAUGUAAGAGGUACUGGAAAUUAAGUUUAUGAAUGCUGGGAAUCUCCAUUCACACAAGACAUUUUCUCUCCAGCAUGUGUGCUGCUACUACUACUACGAAGGCUAAUGAUACUACAGUGUACAGUAUUGCUACUUACAUCUUUGUGUACUACAUAAUUUAUCUGUUAACUCUUUCAAAUACUGGAACCCGACCAAGUUCCAUUGCCAUUUACAACCUCCACGGAGAAAAGUGAAAGAUAUUGACAAUGGUUUUAAUGUAAAAUUUAACUAAGAAGUCAUUCAGAAAUCCUGUUUGGUUAUGCAAUGCAGCCAAAUACAAAUUCAGUUCUUCAUCAGCAAGCUCCAACUAUUUCCAGUGAGAAGCAGUAGUUUAGUUACAAAUGUAAUGUUAGAAAAAUGCAAAAUCCUAUUUUGAACAAGGUUCAUAAACAGUCAGAUUCACUAUUUUGAUCAGCAAGUAACCCAUUCAUAUGAUGAAUCCAAAUUCUACAUACUCCUUUAUGAAACACUUUUUUGAACAUAUACAUGUUGCUUUCUGCAUUCUUUAUGCUAUACCCUUCAUAUGUACUUAUGACUCUGCUGUGCUCCUCUGACAUAUUUAUGGAAGAUGUUUGUGAAAUUUCACAAACAAGAGGGGAAAACAUAUGUACACAAACAAAACCAAUUUUAAGAUGAAUCCUCCUCUGGAAUCCCACUACAACAACCAAACAAAACAUAAAAAAAUUGAUGUAAUGAGUAAAAUGAAGGUAGUAGUAACUGCAGGAUACCACAUGCUCUCCCAGUGCCCACAUGCUCAAAUGGACUGUUCAACUCUCACCUUUAUCACGGUCAUAUAGCAAAUCUUCUGUUGAGCAAGGACUCCCAUCCUGAGAUUCCGGAGGGCAAAAGGGAGACACACAUGGUGAGUGGCUGCUGCAGCUGCUGCUGCGCUCUUGGACAGAGGGAGUCUGUGUAUCAAUGCUACGCGUGCUACUGCUACGAUAAUGAGCAGGCAAGGGUGCUCUUCGACCAUCAGGAAUAUCCAAAGGCUGCAACAGAAACAACGCUUAGAUUACAUAACAAGGGCCGAUUCUAAAAGCCUUCAGCCUGCAAAGCUCCCAUUGAAGACUCGGGUCUAGACUACAAAGAUCUGUUCUAAACCAAGCAUGUUAUUUAAAAAGGAAAGAAUGAUAAAAUACACAUUAACUCUUUUGCUCCAGGACAACUGCAACUAUAUUUCUUAUACAAGUUUCAGGACUAGAUGCAUUUCAGUUUAUCUCAGUGUGCUAAGAUUUAUUCUGUUUAAAUAAAUACUACGGUAUUUUUAAAAGUAACAAUACAAAAUGUUAAAUAACUGCUUAGCUUCUCAAUUUUGUUUAACAGAGAUAACUACACUAGUGCAAUUUCCAAUAAGUUACUAUUGUUACAAAAG
Molecule: non-coding RNA, 2644 nt
Organism: Chrysemys picta bellii (western painted turtle)
Lineage: Eukaryota; Metazoa; Chordata; Testudines; Emydidae
Source: RefSeq, a predicted model, not a curated record